CUGACCUUCAGUCCGAAGAAGAAACCCAGACCAGUCUUAAAAGAAAGCACAAACCAAAUCCCCUGUACACAUAUACGGACUCAGAGGAUGAGCAGCCUACAAAAAAACAGUUUCCCCAGGCCCCUCGAGUGAAAAUACCAGCCCUCAUCACUCCGCAGUCUGCCCCCGAGCCCACUGAUAGCAACCAUCAUAAUGCCCCACCCAGCUUCCGGCACCUUUCGCCACUCCGGCACAAACCGACACAGCUUUGCGAUCUCGCCAGCAUGCAGAGUCUGAUGUCUUCCCUAUAGAUGGUGAGACGCUUUGCGUUGAUUGGUGCUGCUGGACCACACUGGAGGUGCGAGUCCGCCGUGUAAUGGUUUAUGCCAUUACAAAGGAGCUGGCCUCUGUACUCAACUGGGCAGGGAAAAAAACCAAGGACCAGACAAAGCAAAGGGCAUUUAAAGAGACAGCGCUGUGCAGAUGCAUAUUUG
This is a long non-coding RNA of Oreochromis aureus, 473 nucleotides long. Lineage: Eukaryota; Metazoa; Chordata; Actinopteri; Cichliformes; Cichlidae. The record is from Ensembl.